Molecule: ribosomal RNA, 396 nt
Filed under: Aplopeltura boa
Lineage: Eukaryota; Metazoa; Chordata; Lepidosauria; Squamata; Pareidae
Description: partial 16S ribosomal RNA
Rfam family: Bacterial large subunit ribosomal RNA
Source: RNAcentral
UAAUCAUUUGUCUAUUAAUUGUAGACCCGUAUGAAAGGCAAAAUGAAAGUCUAACUGUCUCUUAUAAUAAAUCAAUUAAACUGAUCCCCUAGUUCAAAAGCUAGAAUAUCAACAUAAGACCAGAAGACCCUGUGAAGCUUUAACUAACCUAUUAAAUCCAAUAAUAGCUACUUUCGGUUGGGGCGACCUUGGAAAUAAAGAAAACUUCCAAAUAACAUGACUUCAUUCAUACCACUAGGCCAACAAGCCAUUAUAAGAUCCAGUAUAUCUGAUUAAUGAAACAAGUUACUCCAGGGAUAACAGCGCUAUCUUCUUCAAGAGUCCAUAUCAAAAAGAAGGUUUACGACCUCGAUGUUGGAUCAGGACANCCUGGUGGUGCAACCGCUACNAAGGGUU